GGUAGAGAAUUUAAAAAAUAUUAAGUUCUUGAUAUUUCUUGAAAAAGCGGCUAUUUCAAAAUCUAAGCUAAAUGAAAUAAUUUUUUUUUAUAUUUAGAUGAGGAGGAUGGCAUACCUAGUUACUCAAAUGAGAGGAGUGGGAAGAACGACUCCUUGGAAAACAGUUAAAAUUGUUAUGAAUACUAUUAUGGAAUACAGGCAUUAUUUAGCAAGGAUGGAAGAAAAGAAAAAUGUAAAUUUACGAGCACUUCUUAUUAUAGAUGCAUUGAAUGCGAGUUUUUAGCUAUUGCAUUUUAUAUAAGACUGAAAUAUUUUUGUUAACAUUAAAUAGCAGAACGUGAAACAGUAGUA
Molecule: long non-coding RNA, 351 nt
Organism: Hydra vulgaris (swiftwater hydra)
Lineage: Eukaryota; Metazoa; Cnidaria; Hydrozoa; Anthoathecata; Hydridae
Source: RefSeq, a predicted model, not a curated record